Molecule: long non-coding RNA, 540 nt
Organism: Bactrocera neohumeralis
Lineage: Eukaryota; Metazoa; Arthropoda; Insecta; Diptera; Tephritidae
Exons: 3
Source: RefSeq, a predicted model, not a curated record
ACAUAUAUUGCAGCGUUUUUUGUUUUCCGCAAACCGUUUUGAUUUCUCGGCACCCUUACUCAUCAGAUGCGGCCAUGUUGGUUUUAUUGUAAACGUUCACUUUGGAUGUUGGAAAUUACUCUAAAAGGUUACUUCCGCUACUGGCCUUAAUUAGCUUUGAACGCAAAAUUUCAAACUAACGCGUUGUUAAUUUUUUUCCAUGGUAUAAAUCAUUAGACAAACGUGGUAAACAAACAGAUGUCAGACAGACACUAAUUGUCUUAUAUAAAGUGAUAAUAGAUAGUAGAUUUGUAUAAGGAUAAUAUGUCUUUUAUCGUUCUUGAUAGAGACCAGAUUUCACAUGAACAUAAAAAUGUAAAUUGUAUUUACCUGGGGGAUACUUCUUUCUUCUGAAAAUAUUAAGAUCGUCUAUGGAAAUAUACUCAUGUAGAUAUUUGAUGCCAAGCCAACUGGAAAGUCUAUAUGGAUCUAUUAAUAAAAGCUCUGUACUGUUAUAUUCUUUAUAAAAACAAACAUAUAUUUAUUUUACUACCUGUUAAA